Pelobates cultripes (western spadefoot toad) is the source of this 278-nucleotide non-coding RNA. The record is from the annotation of a GenBank genome assembly. NCBI's taxonomy places the organism in Eukaryota, Metazoa, Chordata, Amphibia, Anura, Pelobatidae.
AAAAAAGUCAGUAUUUUCUUGCUUUAUAACACGCUGUGUGAGAGAUAUAACUAAGGUUGGGCAAAUGUAUCCCCAUCUCCCUCUCCCCCCCAAAAAAAGGUUGUACACAAAUCUGCCAAUAUAUUUACGUUUGAGCGUAACCCCCAGUCUCAUUCUUCCACUCUGUGGACAGUAGUUUGAAGCUUGAUUCAAGACACGUGAUCAAGUCCACUGACCCAUACUGUGAGCAUAGAACUUGUCUCUCAACUCUUCCUUAGUUGUAAAAUAGAUACUUUUUU